RNAcentral lists this ribosomal RNA (275 nucleotides) under uncultured bacterium. RNAcentral describes it as "partial 16S ribosomal RNA". It matches the Rfam family "Bacterial small subunit ribosomal RNA", at positions 338 to 604 of the family's 1533-position model. The record is from RNAcentral.
CCUACGGGAGGCUGCAGUAGGGAAUAUUGCACAAUGGGCGCAAGCCUGAUGCAGCAACGCCGCGUGAGUGAAGAAGGCUCUUGGGUCGUAAAGCUCUUUCGACAGGAAAGAAGGGUUUUAGAGUAAACAAUUCUAAGAUCUGACGGUACCUGAUGAAGAAGCACCGGCUAAUUUCGUGCCAGCAGCCGCGGUAAUACGAAAGGUGCAAGCGUUGUUCGGAAUCACUGGGCGUAAAGCGCACGUAGGCGGGUUUGUGUGUCGAUUGUGAAAGCCCC